Molecule: ribosomal RNA, 452 nt
Filed under: uncultured bacterium
Lineage: Bacteria
Description: bacterial SSU rRNA
Rfam family: Bacterial small subunit ribosomal RNA
Source: RNAcentral
GUGGGGAAUUUUUCGCAAUGGGCGAAAGCCUGACGAAGCAACGCCGCGUGGAGGAUGAAGGCCCUCGUGGUCGUAAACUCCUGUCUAGCGGGACGAAAGCAUCCGGGGUGAAUAAUCCCGGGUGUUGACUGUACCGCUGGAGGAAGCUCCGGCCAACUCCGUGCCAGCAGCCGCGGUAAUACGGAGGGAGCAAGCGUUACUCGGAAUUAUUGGGCGUAAAGGGCGCGUAGGCGAUUCGACAAGUCAACUGUGAAAGCCCAGGGCCUAACCCUGGAAGUGCAGCUGAUACUGUCGGAUUUGAGUUCCGGAGAGGAAGGCAGAAUUCCCGGUGUAGCGGUGAAAUGCGUAGAUAUCGGGAGGAAUACCAGUGGCGAAGGCGGCCUUCUGGACGGAUACUGACGCUGAGGCGCGAAAGCCAGGGGAGCAAACGGGAUUAGAAACCCGAGUAGUCC